Molecule: non-coding RNA, 112 nt
Organism: Acanthosepion pharaonis
Lineage: Eukaryota; Metazoa; Mollusca; Cephalopoda; Sepiida; Sepiidae
Source: the annotation of a GenBank genome assembly
UACGGUCAUAUCACAUUCAAACACCAGUUCUUAUCUGAUCACCAAAGUUAAACAACAUUGAGCCUGGUUACUAUGUAUAUGGGUGACUGCUUGAGAAUAUCAGGUGUUGUAA